Molecule: ribosomal RNA, 229 nt
Filed under: uncultured Lactobacillus sp.
Lineage: Bacteria; Bacillati; Bacillota; Bacilli; Lactobacillales; Lactobacillaceae
Description: partial 16S ribosomal RNA
Rfam family: Bacterial small subunit ribosomal RNA
Source: RNAcentral
CACAGANUGGAUAACACCUGGAAACAGAUGCUAAUACCGGAUAACAACAGAUGAUGCCUAUCAACUGUUUAAAAGAUGGUUCUGCUAUCACUCUUGGAUGGACCUGCGGUGCAUUAGCUAGUUGGUAGGGUAACGGCCUACCAAGGCGAUGAUGCAUAGCCGAGUUGAGAGACUGAUCGGCCACAUUGGGACUGAGACACGGCCCAAACUCCUACGGGAGGCAGCAGCA